UUAAGUUAAUAAGGGCGCACGGUGGAUGCCUUGGCACUAGAAGCCGAUGAAGGACGUGACUAACGACGAAAUGCUUUGGGGAGCUGUAAGUGAGCAAUGAUCCAGAGAUGUCCGAAUGGGGGAACCCGGCAGGUAAUGCCUGUCACUCAUUACUGUUAAGGUAAUGUAGAGGAAGACGCAGUGAACUGAAACAUCUAAGUAGCUGUAGGAAGAGAAAGCAAAAGCGAUUGCCUUAGUAGCGGCGAGCGAAACGGCAAGAGGGCAAACCGAAGAGUUUACUCUUCGGGGUUGUAGGACUGCAACGUGGACUUAAAGAUUAUAGAAGAACUACCUGGGAAGGUAGGCCAAAGAGAGUAAUAGCCUCGUAUUCGAAAUAGUCUUUAUACCUAGCAGUAUCCUGAGUACGGCGAGACACGAGAAAUCUCGUCGGAAUCUGGGAGGACCAUCUCCCAACCCUAAAUACUCUCUAGUGACCGAUAGUGAACCAGUACCGUGAGGGAAAGGUGAAAAGCACCCCGGGAGGGGAGUGAAAUAGAACCUGAAACCGUGUGCCUACAACAAGUUCGAGCCCGUUAAUGGGUGAGAGCGUGCCUUUUGUAGAAUGAACCGGCGAGUUACGAUAUGAUGCGAGGUUAAGUUGAAGAGACGGAGCCGUAGGGAAACCGAGUCUUAAUAGGGCGCAUUAGUAUCAUGUCGUAGACCCGAAACCAUGUGACCUACCCAUGAGCAGGUUGAAGGUGAGGUAAAACUCACUGGAGGACCGAACCAGGGCACGUUGAAAAGUGCUUGGAUGACUUGUGGGUAGCGGAGAAAUUCCAAACGAACUUGGAGAUAGCUGGUUCUCUCCGAAAUAGCUUUAGGGCUAGCGUCGAUGUUAAGUCUCUUGGAGGUAGAGCACUGUUUGGGUGAGGGGUCCAUCCCGGAUUACCAAUCUCAGAUAAACUCCGAAUGCCAAUGAGAUAUAAUCGGCAGUCAGACUGCGAGUGCUAAGAUCCGUAGUCGAAAGGGAAACAGCCCAGACCACCAGCUAAGGUCCCAAAAUAUAUGUUAAGUGGAAAAGGAUGUGGGGUUGCACAGACAACUAGGAUGUUAGCUUAGAAGCAGCUAUUCAUUCAAAGAGUGCGUAAUAGCUCACUAGUCGAGUGACCCUGCGCCGAAAAUGUACCGGGGCUAAAACAUAUUACCGAAGCUGUGGAUACCUUUAUAGGUAUGGUAGGAGAGCGUUCUAUGUGCGAAGAAGGUGUACCGUGAGGAGUGCUGGAGCGCAUAGAAGUGAGAAUGCCGGUAUGAGUAGCGAAAGACAGGUGAGAAUCCUGUCCACCGUAAGACUAAGGUUUCCAGGGGAAGGCUCGUCCGCCCUGGGUUAGUCGGGACCUAAGGAGAGACCGAAAGGUGUAUCCGAUGGACAACAGGUUGAUAUUCCUGUACUAGAGUAUAUAGUGAUGGAGGGACGCAGUAGGCUAACUAAACCAGACGAUUGGAAGUGUCUGGCCAAGCAGUGAGGUGUGAUAUGAGUCAAAUGCUUAUAUCUUUAACAUUGAGCUGUGAUGGGGAGCGAAGUUUAGUAGCGAAGUUAGUGAUGUCACACUGCCGAGAAAAGCUUCUAGCGUUAAUUAUACUCUACCCGUACCGCAAACCGACACAGGUAGUCGAGGCGAGUAGCCUCAGGUGAGCGAGAGAACUCUCGUUAAGGAACUCGGCAAAAUGGCCCCGUAACUUCGGGAGAAGGGGCGCUGACUGAUGGUCAGCCGCAGUGAAUAGGCCCAAGCAACUGUUUAUCAAAAACACAGCUCUCUGCUAAAUCGUAAGAUGAUGUAUAGGGGGUGACGCCUGCCCGGUGCUGGAAGGUUAAGAGGAGUGCUUAGCGUAAGCGAAGGCAUGAAUUGAAGCCCCAGUAAACGGCGGCCGUAACUAUAACGGUCCUAAGGUAGCGAAAUUCCUUGUCGGGUAAGUUCCGACCCGCACGAAAGGCGUAAUGAUUUGGGCACUGUCUCAACGAGAGACUCGGUGAAAUUUUAGUACCUGUGAAGAUGCAGGUUACCCGCGACAGGACGGAAAGACCCCAUGGAGCUUUACUGCAGUUUGAUAUUGAGUAUCUGUACCACAUGUACAGGAUAGGUAGGAGCCUAUGACCUCGGGACGCCAGUUUCGAGUGAGGCGUUGUUGGGAUACUACCCUUGUGUUAUGGCUACUCUAACCCAGAUAGGUUAUCCCUAUCGGAGACAGUGUCUGACGGGCAGUUUGACUGGGGCGGUCGCCUCCUAAAAGGUAACGGAGGCGCCCAAAGGUUCCCUCAGAAUGGUUGGAAAUCAUUCGCAGAGUGUAAAGGUAUAAGGGAGCUUGACUGCGAGAGCUACAACUCGAGCAGGGACGAAAGUCGGGCUUAGUGAUCCGGUGGUUCCGUAUGGAAGGGCCAUCGCUCAACGGAUAAAAGCUACCCUGGGGAUAACAGGCUUAUCUCCCCCAAGAGUUCACAUCGACGGGGAGGUUUGGCACCUCGAUGUCGGCUCGUCGCAUCCUGGGGCUGUAGUCGGUCCCAAGGGUUGGGCUGUUCGCCCAUUAAAGCGGCACGCGAGCUGGGUUCAGAACGUCGUGAGACAGUUCGGUCCCUAUCCGUCGCGGGCGUAGGAAAUUUGAGAGGAUCUGCUCCUAGUACGAGAGGACCAGAGUGGACUUACCGCUGGUGUACCAGUUGUUCUGCCAAGAGCAUCGCUGGGUAGCUAUGUAGGGAAGGGAUAAACGCUGAAAGCAUCUAAGUGUGAAGCCCACCUCAAGAUGAGAUUUCCCAUGAUUUUAUAUCAGUAAGAGCCCUGAGAGAUGAUCAGGUUGAUAGGUUAGAAGUGGAAGUGUGGUGACACAUGUAGCGGACUAAUACUAAUAGCUCGAGGACU
Molecule: ribosomal RNA, 2891 nt
Filed under: Streptococcus thermophilus
Lineage: Bacteria; Bacillati; Bacillota; Bacilli; Lactobacillales; Streptococcaceae
Description: bacterial LSU rRNA
Rfam family: Bacterial large subunit ribosomal RNA
Source: RNAcentral